GUACGUCAUUGCGGGCGCGACGGCCCGAGGGAUAGUGUGGGGUCUGCUUCUGUGAGGGUGCUGCGGCGGGACCGGGCGGGAAGAUGCCAGUAGCGGUGAUGGCGGAAAGUGCCUUUAGUUUCAAAAAGUUGCUGGAUCAGUGCGAGAACCAGGAGCUCGAGGCUCCUGGAGGAAUUGCUACUCCCCCAGUGUAUGGUCAGCUGUUAGCUUUGUAUCUGCUCCACAAUGACAUGAAUAAUGCAAGAUAUCUUUGGAAACGGAUACCACCUGCUAUAAAAUCUGCAAAUUCUGAACUUGGGGGAAUUUGGUCAGUAGGACAAAGAAUCUGGCAGAGAGAUUUCCCUGGGAUCUAUACGACCAUCAACGCACACCAGUGGUCUGAGACGGUCCAGCCAAUCAUGGAAGCACUUAGAGAUGCAACGAGGAGAAGAGCCUUCGCCCUGGUCUCACAAGCCUACACCUCCAUCAUCGCUGAUGACUUCGCAGCCUUUGUUGGCCUCCCUGUGGAAGAGGCUGUGAAAGGUAUAUUAGAACAAGGAUGGCAAGCCGACUCCACCACAAGAAUGGUUAUGCCCAAAAAGCCAGUUGCAGGGGCCCUGGAUGCAUCUUUUAACCGGUUUAUUCCCUUAUCAGAGCCUGCCCCAGUGCCCCCGAUCCCCAACGAACAGCAGUUAGCCAGACUGACCGAUUAUGUGGCUUUCCUCGAAAACUGAUAACAUCAUUCUGAGUUCAAGAUCCACCUUCGGAAUCCUGUAUACUGACAGAUAGAGAAAUGUAAAAUUUUUAUUUUCAAUUUCUUGGACGGAUGAAGCACCUCAGCAUUCCUUACUGAUGCCACUCUGUGUUCCUGGGAUUGAGAGACAUGGCCCAUCUACAUGUAAGCUGAAACACCUGAAUCCAUCUGUCCUUAACAUCACUCACAGUGGGACAAGUGAGCUUGCCAGGAUGGCAUGCCUUCCUGUGGUAAGUGGAAAAGUUGGAGAAGCUACAUAAGUGCAAUCAGCAUCCAAAAGCAAGCAGGUGCCGCUCUGUUGAUGCCACACAGUGGACUUGAAGGCGAGAAGCACGUUUCAUGGACAAGGUUUCCUAUUGCUGCCCUGAGUUACCACUAACAUAAU
Enhydra lutris kenyoni (northern sea otter) is the source of this 1118-nucleotide RNA transcript. It is a transcript of the gene named COP9 signalosome subunit 8, with no coding region annotated. NCBI's taxonomy places the organism in Eukaryota, Metazoa, Chordata, Mammalia, Carnivora, Mustelidae. The record is from RefSeq and is a predicted model, not a curated record. The transcript is spliced from 10 exons.